This 494-nucleotide ribosomal RNA is filed under the name uncultured bacterium. RNAcentral's name for it is "partial 16S ribosomal RNA". It matches the Rfam family "Bacterial small subunit ribosomal RNA", at positions 28 to 507 of the family's 1533-position model. The record is from RNAcentral.
GACGAACGCUGGCGGCGUGCUUAACACAUGCAAGUCGAGCGGAAAGGCCUGCUUUCCCUUGUGGAUUGCGGGUACUCGAGUGGCGAACGGGUGAGUAACACGUGAGUGAUCUGCCCCCAACUUGGGUAUAAGCCUGGGAAACUGGGUCUAAUUCCCGAUAGGACUGCAGGGUGGUGCCUGUGGUGGAAAACGAUUUUCUAGUGGUUGGGGAUGAGCUCGCGGCCUAUCAGCUUGUUGGUGGGGUAAUGGCCUACCAAGGCGGCGACGGGUAGCCGGCCUGAGAGGGUGGACGGCCACAUUGGGACUGAGAUACGGCCCAGACUCCUACGGGAGGCAGCAGUGGGGAAUAUUGCACAAUGGGCGGAAGCCUGAUGCAGUGACGCCGCGUGGGGGAUGACGGCCUUCGGGUUGUAAACUCCUUUCGACCGCGAGGAAGCCACCUGGUUGGAAGGGUGGUGACGGUAGUGGUAGAAGAAGCACCGGCUAACUACGUG